Molecule: ribosomal RNA, 170 nt
Filed under: uncultured bacterium
Lineage: Bacteria
Description: partial 16S ribosomal RNA
Rfam family: Bacterial small subunit ribosomal RNA
Source: RNAcentral
CCCUACGGGAGGCAGCAGUGGGGAAUAUUGGACAAUGGGCGAAAGCCUGAUCCAGCAAUGCCGCGUGAGUGAAGAAGGCCCUAGGGUUGUAAAACUCUUUCAGUCGUGACGAUGAUGACGGUAGCGACAGAAGAAGCUCCGGCUAACUCCGUGCCAGCAGCCGCGGUAAU